RNAcentral lists this long non-coding RNA (216 nucleotides) under Phoenix dactylifera (date palm). RNAcentral describes it as "long non-coding RNA (PDAC_LNC003414)". The record is from RNAcentral. Lineage: Eukaryota; Viridiplantae; Streptophyta; Magnoliopsida; Arecales; Arecaceae.
GAUUGGUGGGCUUUAAGAAGGAAGAGCGUUCAUAAACAGUAUAUUGAAAUAAUUGAGGGCAUGUAUGUUGGGGCAUUAACAAGUGUUAUAGAAGUUAUUGCAAUACAACAAAUAUUUUUCUAGUCACAAUAGGCUUACAUCAAGGAUUAGCGCUAAAUCAAUAUCUUUUUGUAUUAAUUAUGAAUGAACACAGCUAAUAUUUAGAAAGAUGUAAUG